AGUAAUAUUUAGUUCUAUGUAGUAGUUGUAGAUUACAUCUUGCCAAAGAUCGAACAGUUGUAUUUUAGUUCAAUUAAAAAUUUAUGUAUUAGUAAUCUAUACAUAUAUAUAAUUGCAGAACAUAUGCUCAAUGACGUGACAUGUCUCAUUUAUCAGAAACACUAUUUAUUUUUUUCUUUUUUUUUUUUUUUUUUGGCCUUUUCCCCUCAUUAAUUAAUUCAUUAUUAUCUACUCAAUUUAACCGAUUUAUGUUACGUGUUCCCUAACAGUCACUUCUUUUCUUUUCCCGUUGCCAACAGUUGCUUCUUCUCAUAAUUACCCUUGCACGCUUUGUUUUCCACAUUUCUGUCUCUCUCUCUUUCAUGGAUCAAGCACCAUCACUUAGACCAAAAUGAAGAAUCGAAAAAAUGGUUGAGGCUAUGAUUCUGGCAUGAGAAGAAAGUUUCAACCAAGAUUGCACUGACGAUGAGACAACUGGAGGCGAUCGUAUGAAUCUGAGAGCAGUAUUCAAGAAAAGUAUCUAUCCGAUUAUGAUACCUUUUCAUACUACUAUGAAAAUCCUUUUCAAAAAGCGAGAAUAUACGGAGGAUAAGCUCAAAGGGAUUACAUCGAUGAAGCGUGGAGAUAAGGUAUAUCUUUUGUACGUUCUGGUUACCUAUGUGUCUCUUGCUCGCAUGGAUUUGCGUUCAUUAAUGUUCUUCAAGUUAUUUUUCUUGUUAUUAAUUGCUUAUGAGAAUAUCAAUCUUAAUAUUCAUGAAAAUUUACUAUGUUUCUUCUUAAAUUGUAAGUUCCCGUGUUUUUUUCUUUUAGAAUUCUUCCAAUUGAUCUGUCAUUUGGUAUUAAAGGAAUGUAGUUCUCUGGUGUCAAUUCAUAAUACUUAUAGUUAAUAUAGACAUUUCUUUGAUGAUUGAUUAAUUUAACAUUUACACAUGCUUUAAAGUACAUUUUGUCAAAUUCAACACGUACGGUGUGGGAAAGCCAACAAGGUGUACACGAAGCCCCUGAGUAGCGAAAUAGUGACCAAAAUCGCAACUGGAUUCCAUCAUCGAGAAUUAGUGCCCGAAAUCUUUCCCAUUCUCUCGUUCUCUGUGUUAUUUUAUUUAGUAGAGUGUUCUACUUAAUUAUUUCAGGUUAUGUAUAAAGAAUAUUUUGUUCAACAAAAUGUAACUACCUAAAAACUUUUGAAAGUUUUCCAACAAUCCAUUUUCCUUUUAUGUUUGUUAAUUUUUUCUAUAUAGUUAAACUUUCUAUUACUGAUGCGAAUACUUUAAUCUGCUCAUUAUUGAUUUAACUUACAUUCAUCCAUGAAUUUAACUGAUGUCUCAUAUUUAUAUUCAUUCGUGAUUUCAACUGAUGUUUCAUCGGUUUUUUCAAGUUUAUUCAUGAUUUUUGGCCAGUCAUAUAGGCACAAUUAUCCUUGCUAACUAAUGGAAAAAAAAAAAGUCAUGUGCUCUUUUCCUACUUCUACCUAUUAACAUUUUGUUAAGGCUUUGCGUUCCAAGUUAUCAUUGCUUCUUGACAACAUUCUUACUUUCUCAAGGAAAAAAAGGUUUAUGCUUUUGUGCUCUACUGAAUAUGGAAAACGAGUUUGGGGUUUAUCUUUAGAAUCUUUUGGCUGCUUUCACUGACAAUUAAAUUCAUGUGUAGUGAUUCAUGUAAUGUAUUUUUAAUCAUGGAAAACAUUUGCAAAGUUGAUACAAUUACAUUUCAUACGGGCUAACUUCUAACUAGAAGUUGGAAACGUUGACGUGGCCAAUUAACUUCCUCAAAUUUCUGCUCUUCCACUGUUUUGAUUCAUUGCUUUUGCCGGUGUAUUGUAUUUUUGGGUAUAUGCUUUGGUCUUCUUGAUUAUUGUUGUUAAUGUUUGUGUGUGACUGUUAUCAGAACAAAUUUUUUAUACUAAUUAAAUGCUGAGAAAUAUCAGUAGCAGUGGAAUUCAUUUUUCUCAGCCGCCUCUACAGCUGCCUAUGUCUACUUGUGCUCAGUAUACACAAUUGCUUCUUCAUGUUGUUUCUAAUUAACCAUGUCCAUUUUGUCAUUUAGUUUUAAAGUUGGAUUAUUGGAAUGAAAUAUGCUUGUAAGGAGGAUUUAUAGAAACAUCAAAUGCCAACCGAUCUUUUGACAAAGAAGACUAGGACUGACACCACCACUCUAUUUUCUUGAUAUCUGGCAAUAAGGUGAUGAAAAACCUCAAGAACAGUGCAUCAUUGUGGGAGUUCAAUCGGUUUAACAAUAGUUUGUAAAUACCUCUACUUGAAUUCUGGUGAGCGCUGGAAUUUUUUCCAUUCCGGGGCAGUUGGGCUGUAAAAGAAAUUUCUUAAUUUCCUGUGUACUUAAAUUAUAAUGAAUAGAGUUCGAAUAAUUCAAGGCUAGCUUGGUAAGAGUUUCAUCUGUCAUGUAGUUAUAUCUCUCUAAUACUCUAUGACUUGGACACAGUAAAAGCAUUAAUUGCUACUUUUGUUGAUUCUCAUGUAAUAACAAAUUAGACACAUAUCAGUUUUGUA
Lycium barbarum (goji berry) is the source of this 2504-nucleotide long non-coding RNA. RefSeq lists it as uncharacterized. NCBI's taxonomy places the organism in Eukaryota, Viridiplantae, Streptophyta, Magnoliopsida, Solanales, Solanaceae. The transcript has 2 exons. The record is from RefSeq and is a predicted model, not a curated record.